AUGGACUGUGAACAAGCCAACCCAGACUUGCUCAAAGCGGAGGUGUUGAGUCCUUUUGGUAAAACCAUCUGCUCAUAUCUGUGGUCAUUUAAAAACCGGGUUGUUAGUCGGACAGGCGCGGAGAGUCUUCUGGAAGGAUCGCCGCAAUGGAAGGAUCGGCCCAGGGAAAGCCGCAGGUCCAGGAAAGCCGCAGGUCCAGUUCAAGCUCGUCCUGGUGGGCGAUGGCAUAGAGAUCUGGUACGAGUGUGUGAAAAUAUCUCCAUUGUAUUGUGUGGCAACAAAGUGGAUAUUAAAGACAGGAAAGUGAAGGCAAAAUCUAUUGUCUUCCACCGAAAGAAGAAUCUUCAGUACUAUGUCAUUUCUGCCAAAAGCAACUACAACUUUGAAAAGCCUUUCCUCUGGCUUGCCAGAGAGCUUAUUGGAGAGCCUAACUAGGAAUUUGUUGCCAUGCCUGCUCUUGCCCCACCUGAGGUGGCCAUGGAUCCAGCUUUGGCAGCACAGUACGAGCAUAAUUUAGAGGUUGCUCAGACGACUGCUCUCCCGGAUGAGGAUGAUGACAUCUGAGAAAGUGAAGCUGGAGCCCUGCGUCAGAAGUCUAGUUUUAUAGGCAAUUGUCCUGUGAUGUCAGGGGUGCAGCGCGUGUGCCACCUUAUUUAGCUAAGCAGAUCGUGUACUUCAUUGGGAUGCUGAAGGAGAUGAAUGGGCUUCGGAGUGAAUGUGGCAGUUAAACAUACCUUCAUUUUUUUGGAAUUGCAUAUUUAGCUGUUUGGAACAGAGUUGUUUCCUUUCUGAAUUUCAAAGAUAAGACUGCUGCAGUCGAAUCACAAUAUCCAGUGGUGAAAUCUUGUUUGUUACUGUCAUUCCCAUUCUUUUCGUUCAGAAUAAAGUUGUAUUUCAAAUAA
Molecule: RNA transcript, 902 nt
Organism: Mastomys coucha (southern multimammate mouse)
Lineage: Eukaryota; Metazoa; Chordata; Mammalia; Rodentia; Muridae
Gene name: GTP-binding nuclear protein Ran-like
Exons: 2
Source: RefSeq, a predicted model, not a curated record